CAGUAGCCACGGUAAUACGGAGGGGGCUAGCGUUGUUCGGAAUUACUGGGCGUAAAGCGCACGUAGGCGGCUUGGUAAGUUAGAGGUGAAAGCCCAGGGCUCAACCCUGGAAUUGCCUUUAAGACUGCCGAGCUAGUAGGUGAGAGAGGUAAGUGGAAUUCCGAGUGUAGAGGUGAAAUUCGUAGAUAUUCGGAAGAACACCAGUGGCGAAGGCGGCUUACUGGCUCAUUCUAGACGCUGAGGUGCGAAAGCGUGGGGAGCAAACAGGAUUAGAUACCCGUGUAGUCCCUGUCUCUUAUAC
This 301-nucleotide ribosomal RNA is filed under the name uncultured bacterium. RNAcentral describes it as "partial 16S ribosomal RNA". It matches the Rfam family "Bacterial small subunit ribosomal RNA", at positions 509 to 807 of the family's 1533-position model. The record is from RNAcentral.